Rosa rugosa (rugosa rose) is the source of this 2277-nucleotide long non-coding RNA. RefSeq lists it as uncharacterized. The record is from RefSeq and is a predicted model, not a curated record. The transcript has 4 exons. Lineage: Eukaryota; Viridiplantae; Streptophyta; Magnoliopsida; Rosales; Rosaceae.
UUCUCCUUCCUCCCUUCCAGCCACGUCCUCCCUUCUCUCUCUCCCCCCGACCUCUGGUUCAUUUUCUCUUCUUCCCUCUGCAACCACCAGAAAACACCGGUUCCGGCCACUACCUCUUGACACCGCCUCCACCCUUCGAACCAGAACCCAAUUCUGACCCAAACCUCACCAAAAUCACGGCCAUUCACCACCGUCCUCCUUCGCACGCGACAACCCAAGACUGCGCGUCACUGUUCCUCGACCCUCAUCGAUUUUCCGGCGAUUUCCACUCCCUUCCGCCACCUUCGUUCUACUCAACAAGCAAAGAGUAGCAAAACCCAGAAACCCCUCUGCCCGCCGACGCCUGAUGACGCCGUACAAGCAUCGCCGGAGGUCCCCAUUCUGCAUGCCUUCAUUCUCCGAUCUCCAGCUCGAAUCGAGCUUCAACACUCCCAUAAAUGAAGUCGGAGCUCCACUAUCCUUCGAAACCCAAACUCUCGACCUCCGACUCCGACCAAAGCCGCUGGACGGGCUUCACGUGCCGCCACUGGUGCGUGGGAGAAGCUAGCUCCGCCGCUCACGGUCACUGGAACGUAUCUGUUAGGUAAUUUACGUCAUCCUAGUAUGGGUUAAAGCCUCCAUUCGGUUUAGAUUGAAAACUCUAAUUCGUGUUGUUCGAUUUGCAAUGUGAGGUUUUGCGAAAUCUGCAAAUUUUGGGGAUUUUUGGAGAAGAGAAGUGUUGAGUCAGUGUCCAUUGAAAAUGGAUUGAGAUUUGGUGGAUUAUUGCAUUCUGGGAAGUUUUGGAGAGGAGAGAAUCUGUUGGGUCAAUUCAAUUGAUACCGAGAAAAGGGUUCGAAUGGUUGAUGGUGGUGAAGCACAGCCAUGUUAAGUUGACUGCAAGUUUGGAGAAGAAAGAUGGACUCGAGCAUGUGUACUUGGAUUUGAACAAAUGAUCGAAAGUCGAGAACGAACCCGAAUGUGGACGAGCACUCCAAUUCCAGGUACUUUGAGAAGCAGUUGAGGAGAAAACAGAGCUACUGUGGGGUAAUCAAGGAAAUUCACAUGAAGUAGUGAUGCAAAGGAUGGAUUCUGAUCAUUCAUUGGUCCUAAAACUCAAGAGAAGAUGGAGAGAGUUUCCGUGCAAAACAAUUGCCAAGAAGCAGAAAACAGAGUACUAGAGUCUAUCUUAUUUUCUUUUGUCUUGGGAAGCUGUUUUGAAGAACUUUCGAGUGGAGUUAUGAAGAAAGGCCUGUCAAUAUUUGAAGACCACAUGUUCUACUAUAACUGCAGGCAAAGAUUUGGUCCAGAAUGAUGAGGAGUAAGCCGGAGGCUGUGCUCAAAGUUGGUACCCCGAGAAGACUGUUUCCAUCAGCUUUUCAGGAAGCUUUUUCAAGGACUUUUCUACUGGACUUAAGGGAUGAAAAUCAUGAAGUUCUCUGCCCAUAUUUGAAGAAUAUAUGUUGUAGAGAAUUUUAAAAUCAAGAAUCAUCCAGAAAGAUGGUGGAAUGCAUAAGUUAUGAUGCUGCAAAGAUGAGCAGAGGAUAAGGAAAAUCUGGAAUUUCUGACAAGUCUUUCUGCGAAGCAUUUUCAAGACUGUUGUUGGGCCACGUUUCAAGAAGAUUUCUAGAAGUUUUUUGCACGGUUUUGAAGAGUGACAUCAUAAGUAUUAUGUGGCAGAAUAUCACCUUCGAAUCUGCUGGGAACCCUUGUCAAACAUGGAGAGGAAAAUCAAUCUUAGUUGAGAAAGGAAAGUGAAUUAAAGGCUAUAUUUUCUGAAGAUAUUCUUGGCAGAUUUUGGGACGAAUAUUAUUGGAUUUUUGCUGCAUUAUACUUAUGAAGAGAAGGUUAAGGUUCAGAAGAUUGUGUGGCAGCUAAGCAAGUGGAAUUGGAGAAGAAUAAGGAGAACUCAACUCGGUUUUGGGGAGAAAAGCUAGGGGCUUGUAAACCAUAAAAAUAGGAGGCUUCUUUGCAUCAUAGGAGACCAUAUUAUACAGAUUUCACGCCUCAAAACACCCCUAGCUAGCUCUCUGGUUUUCGAAGCUCCAUACAAGCAUAAGGAAAAGAAGCUGCCAAAGUCGCUAUCUGCGACCAUCGUGAGCAUCCAUCUUCAAGCAACAUCCACCGUGCCUCUUCACUCUUUUUUUUUCUGCAACUUUGUCCUUUUAUUUUCAAUAUGUUACUGUGUGUUUACCUUAGAACAAUGAGUAGCUAAAUACUUUUUUGUUAGGGGCUAGUUUGAAGCCCUAAACUAUGGUUCAAGUUUCAUAAUACAUUUCUAUGUUUUAGUUACUUUGUCAA